Molecule: ribosomal RNA, 253 nt
Filed under: uncultured bacterium
Lineage: Bacteria
Description: partial 16S ribosomal RNA
Rfam family: Bacterial small subunit ribosomal RNA
Source: RNAcentral
UACGUAGGGUGCGAGCGUUGUCCGGAUUUAUUGGGCGUAAAGAGCGUGUAGGCGGCUUUACAGGUCCGUUGUAAAAACUCGAGGCUCAACCUCGAGACGCCGGUGGAAACCGUAAAGCUAGAGUCCGGAAGAGGAGAGUGGAAUUCCUGGUGUAGCGGUGAAAUGCGCAGAUAUCAGGAAGAACACCCGUGGCGAAGGCGGCUCUCUGGGACGGUACUGACGCUGAGACGCGAAAGCGUGGGGAGCGAACAGG